This 494-nucleotide ribosomal RNA is filed under the name uncultured bacterium. Its description in RNAcentral is "partial 16S ribosomal RNA". It matches the Rfam family "Bacterial small subunit ribosomal RNA", at positions 28 to 507 of the family's 1533-position model. The record is from RNAcentral.
GACGAACGCUGGCGGCGUGCUUAACACAUGCAAGUCGAACGGUGAAGCGCCUUCCUUUUUGGUGGGUGUGGAUGAGUGGCGAACGGGUGAGUAACACGUGAGUAACCUGCCCCCUUCUUCUGGAUAACCGCAUGAAAGUGUGGCUAAUACGGGAUAUUCUGGGUCUGUCGCAUGAUGGGUCUGGGAAAGAUAUUGUUUCGGUGGGGGAUGGGCUCGCGGCCUAUCAGCUUGUUGGUGGGGUGAGGGCCUACCAAGGCGGUGACGGGUAGCCGGCCUGAGAGGGUGGACGGUCACACUGGGACUGAGCCACGGCCCAGACUCCUACGGGAGGCAGCAGUGGGGAAUAUUGCACAAUGGGCGCAAGCCUGAUGCAGCGACGCCGCGUGAGGGAUGGAGGCCUUCGGGUUGUGAACCUCUUUCGCCAGUGAAGCAGGCCUGCCUCGUUUGUGGGUGGGUUGACGGUAGCUGGAUAAGAAGCGCCGGCUAACUACGUG